This is a long non-coding RNA of Agrilus planipennis (emerald ash borer), 1873 nucleotides long. RefSeq lists it as uncharacterized. Lineage: Eukaryota; Metazoa; Arthropoda; Insecta; Coleoptera; Buprestidae. The transcript is spliced from 9 exons. The record is from RefSeq and is a predicted model, not a curated record.
UACAUUAUUAUCUAUGACCUUAGCUUUGUAUAUUUAUAUAACCUUAAUUAUUUUUAAUUCCAUUAAUACGAAGGAAUUUAAAGACAUGUUGCUUAAAUAUAGAUUUGUUCAUUUGUAAAAACUUCUGUGGCCUUCAGCUUUACUUUUAACAUUUUAUUAAUACAUUCUCUACUACUGUGAGACUAAAUUAUGUAAAUGUGAAUAUAUAGUUAUAGUGAAUAGUGUAGUCCUCAUAGAUAGUAGUUCUCAGUAGUCCUCAUUCCUUCAGAAAUACUCCAGAACGUAACAGUACUUGUAACAAGCGUGAAAUAAUUUUUCCCCUGAAAUCAUAUCGAGUGGCACCAUCAUAAAGUCAUAAAGGUCAAGGACAACAUUAAUUAAAGAAGACAAGGUUGAUUCUAUAGUAAGAAUUCUACCUGCAUUUUGUUUGUCCUUUUUUUCAACUUGAAGAAUCUUGUAGUUUAUUAUGGACUACAUAAACUCUGGACGUCGUAUGCUGUGAAGCAUAGCAGUACCCCAAAGGGUGCUCGUUCAUUUACCGCAUUGAAUUGCCAACAUCAUGAAUGCACUAUGCAGAAGUUAACACAACCAAAAGGACAAAAUCUGAUUCUUUACGUAUUGCCUCUGGAUUGAUGUUAGAUACAUAGAUGGCUCACAAAUACCACACGUCAUUAAUAUGGGUUGAAUUUUAUUAUAGGACUGACUGCAAGGACAUUACGAUUUAGAUGGGCUAACAAAUAAGAGAUUAGGAAUUUAUUUUGGCCGUAGCGAUGAAGUCAUUGGAUGUAUGCACUAGUAUCCUUUCUUAAUUUGGUUUGCUUUCCACACAUGUAAAUCAUGGCCGUUACUUUCUACAACUAAUUCAGAUUGGCCAACAAUUGAGAGAUUGGAACUGGUAUCCUUUGCUUACUGAAAAGAUAAGUCGUCUCCUACGUUGAUUUAGCUGUUUUCAUCUUGGAGGCUCUUGCAGUUAAUUAAGGAACAUUAGAAAAACUUCUCAUUUAUUCUGGAAAGUAGCUCUACGCAUGGUCCUAAAGAAAGCAUGAAAGUGCCUUUUCCAUUGGGAAGAAGACAGUGCAAAAAGGAUGUAUAACAAUGAAUUGAUUGUCUGACAAAUGAGAAGGAAUCGCAGUUAAUUUUUAUGCUACUGAAACAACCGAUGCUUUUGACGGCUUGCAACAUUAUGCAAUUAAUUUUUGCCGCAACAAUGAGAGGCAAUUUGCAGUUUUAUCCCUCCUCGAUUUGGUUUGCUAAUCACACUGGUAGACUUUAGAACGCCACUUUCUACAAUUAAUUAAGAUUGCCCAACAGAUGAGAGAAAAUUAAAGUUCAAUUAGAUCAUACUGAAACAGGCAAUGUCUACAUCGGUGUGGUCUUUUGUGGACUAUAUUCUUGAUCUUAUGUUUUCGUCUUCACCUUGCAACAUCAUGCAGUGAAUUUUUAACCUAUGAGUGAGAGGAACUGAAUUUUUGAGUUCCACUGAAACAACAAAUUGUCUGCAGGGAUAUCUCUUCCAGAUUUGGUUUGCUCAGCACACUGGUAGACUUUAGAACGCUACCUUCUAUAGUUAAUUAAGAUUAUACAACAAAUAAGAGAAUUGAUGUUCAGUUUGGUCAUAUUGAAACAGCCAAUUUCUACAUGGGUGUGGUCUUUCGUGGAUUAUAUUCCUGAUAGCUGUUUCGUCUUCACCUUGUAUCAUCAUGCAGUUAAUUUUCAACCCAUGAGUGAGAGCAACUGGAUAUUUAUUGGAAUUUCACUCAAAUAACAACUUCUCUGCUACGGUGUUCCUCCUGUAGUUAGUUUGCUUUUCACACCUGUAAACUUUGGAACGUUACGUUCUACAAUUAAUUAAGGUGAGAAUACUUGAUAUAAU